UACGUAGGGUGCGAGCGUUAAUCGGAAUUACUGGGCGUAAAGCGUGCGCAGGCGGUUUUGUAAGCCAGAUGUGAAAUCCCCGGGCUUAACCUGGGAACUGCAUUUGAAACUGGCAGGCUUGAGUCUUGUAGAGGGGGGUGGAAUUCCCGGUGUAGUGGUGAAAUGCGUAGAGAUCGGGAGGAACACCUGUGGCGAAGGCGGCCCCCUGGGCCGGCCCUGACGCUGAGACGCGAAAGCGCGGGGAGCGAACGGG
This 253-nucleotide ribosomal RNA is filed under the name uncultured bacterium. RNAcentral's name for it is "partial 16S ribosomal RNA". It matches the Rfam family "Bacterial small subunit ribosomal RNA", at positions 524 to 776 of the family's 1533-position model. The record is from RNAcentral.